GCGCGAAAACUUUACAAUGCGGGCAACCGUGAUAAGGGAACCUCGAGUGCCUGUAUAUGCAGGCUGUCUGGGUGUCUAAAACACACCUAAAGAAAGGGCCGGGCAAGACCGGUGCCAGCCGCCGCGGUAAUACCGGCGGCUCGAGUGGUGGCCACUUUUAUUGGGCUUAAAGCGUUCGUAGCUGGGUUAUUAAGUCCCUUGGGAAAUCCGACGGCUUAACCGUCGGGCGUCUAAGGGAUACUGGCAAUCUUGGAACCGGGAGAGGUGAGGGGUACUUCGGGGGUAGGAGUGAAAUCCUGUAAUCCUCGAGGGACCACCUGUGGCGAAGGCGCCUCACCAGAACGGCUUCGACAGUGAGGGACGAAAGCUGGGGGAGCAAACCGGAUUAGAUACCCGGGUAGUCCCAGCCGUAAACGAUGUGCGUUAGGUGUAUCGGUGACCACGAGUCACCGAGGUGCCGAAGGAAAACCGUGAAACGUACCGCCUGGGAAGUACGGUCGCAAGGCUGAAACUUAAAGGAAUUGGCGGGGGAGCACCACAACAGGUGGAGCCUGCGGUUUAAUUGGACUCAACGCCGGAAAUCUCACCGGAUAAGACAGCUGAAUGAUUGUCGGGCUGAAGACUCUACAUGACUAGCU
This 638-nucleotide ribosomal RNA is filed under the name uncultured Methanoculleus sp. RNAcentral's name for it is "bacterial SSU rRNA". It matches the Rfam family "Archaeal small subunit ribosomal RNA", at positions 339 to 981 of the family's 1478-position model. The record is from RNAcentral. Lineage: Archaea; Methanobacteriati; Methanobacteriota; Methanomicrobia; Methanomicrobiales; Methanomicrobiaceae.